RNAcentral lists this ribosomal RNA (58 nucleotides) under Plumeria alba. Its description in RNAcentral is "partial 18S ribosomal RNA". It matches the Rfam family "Eukaryotic small subunit ribosomal RNA", at positions 1773 to 1831 of the family's 1831-position model. Lineage: Eukaryota; Viridiplantae; Streptophyta; Magnoliopsida; Gentianales; Apocynaceae. The record is from RNAcentral.
UGGAAGGAGGGAGAAUCGUAACAAGGUUUCCGUAGGUGAACCUGCGGAAGGAUCAUUG